RNAcentral lists this ribosomal RNA (465 nucleotides) under uncultured bacterium. RNAcentral's name for it is "partial 16S ribosomal RNA". It matches the Rfam family "Bacterial small subunit ribosomal RNA", at positions 338 to 795 of the family's 1533-position model. The record is from RNAcentral.
CCUACGGGUGGCAGCAGUGGGGAAUAUUGCGCAAUGGGCGAAAGCCUGACGCAGCGACGCCGCGUGAGGGAUGAAGGUCUUCGGAUCGUAAACCUCUGUCAGCAGGGAAGAACGGUCACUGUGCUAAUCAGCAGUGAAUUGACGGUACCUGCAAAGGAAGCACCGGCUAACUCCGUGCCAGCAGCCGCGGUAAUACGGAGGGUGCGAGCGUUAAUCGGAAUUACUGGGCGUAAAGCGCUCGUAGGCGGUAUGUCAAGUCAAGGGUGAAAUCCCCGGGCUCAACGUGGGAACUGCCUUUGAAACUGGCAAACUGGAGUGUGUGAGAGGAUAGUGGAAUUCCAGGUGUAGGAGUGAAAUGCGUAGAUAUCUGGAGGAACAUCAGGGGCGAAGGCGACUAUCUGGCACAUAACUGACGCUGAGGAGCGAAAGCGUGGGUAGCAAACAGGAUUAGAUACCCGGGUAGUC